AGCUAACGGCGCCGCGCUCCGGAGCCGGGCCGGAGUGUUGCCCGGGCUGCAGCGGAGGGGGCGGAGUCUGGGCGCACUGCUGGAGGGUUCGGUUCUCGAACUCGCCUUUGUGGAGUCCCGCCGUUGGCACGUUUAGGAGCGCCGCCCUUUAAGCAGAAGGUUCUGGAUCGAAACGCUCCGCAAGAAGGCGGGAGAGGCAGGGGCCGCGUGGCAGGAGGAGCGGGAACCCUGCUACGCGGCCGACGGUGGUUUCCGAACUUGAGGUUGUGGAGAAAACUUUCCGUGCGGUCACUGCAGGGCCCCCGCCUGGUGCCACCCGAGCAGCCGGGGCCCGCGAUAUCGGCCAAGUCCCGAACACGCGUUUUUUGAAAGAGAGGUCUUAGAUUUAGUGGUCAAGGUUUUGUGUUCCCAGUCUUGUGCCGCUUUCGUGGGGCGUUGGGGUGGGACGAAUAGGGUGGGGAUAGGCAGUAGUUUCAGUCAACAGGAAGUGGGCUGCUGGCCGUUCUGUGGGCUGUGUGGCCUGAACCGGGAGACUGACAGGGGCCCCUCCUGUCCUCCUUGCUUACAGUUGGCAUCCGGGACGUCUGAAAAAGUUUUGUGUUUUGUUUUUUUGGUUUUUUAAAUUGAAGUUCUUAAUUGCUCCUUAAGGUUCUUCUCUUAAUUAUCAAACCAUAAUUUACAGUUUUUCAGAUUCACUGUAGUGGUGAUCAUUUACUGCUGCAGUAGUAGUCCUUUAAUGAUCUGUGUGUUUGUGUUCAUUUCAGGGUAAUCGAAGCUUUUCGUGUGCCAAAAAGCCGUUUGGCAACUGAGACUUAUCUUCUCAGAUAGGACACCCCCCCUCCCAACUGAACCCAGGGGUGCACUGAGCUACUUCCCAGCCCUUCCCUCCCUUUUGAGACAGGGUCUUAUUUAGUUGCCCAGGCUGCUCUUGAAAUUGUGAUCCUGCUACCUUAGCCUCCCCAGUCGCUGGCAUUAUAGACCUGUGUCACCUGCCUGGCUCAGAGCAGUGUUUUUAUUACAUUUAGUGAAAUCUCGAAUGACAAAGGAAAGAAGUUGGGCUGAAAUAGAGUUAAAAUUAUUAAAAUUAAUUUCGUAUUGUUCCAGUAGUUUUGCAUUGUGUGUACGAUUACAUAUGUGCUGCUUUUUAAGCAUUACAUAACGGACUAGUUGUAAGUCUGAAAAACUACCAUAAUUUCAAAAUAGUGAAGUGAGCAUAAAUGAGAUAUCUGUAACAACCACACAGAUGAACUGAUUUUUCCUGGUGACUGAGUGACAGUUACUGCUACUAUUGUUAUGGUUAUUGUCUACACUUAUAAUUAAAGGAAACAAUUAUGAGUUUGGUGAAAAUGAAGUUUUUUUUUUUUUUUCCUACGCAGGUUUUUUUUUUUUUUAGUUGUAGAUGGACCCAAUACCUUGGUUUUAUUUAUUUAUUUUGGGUACUGAGGAUGGAGCCCAGUGCCUCUCAAGUGCUAGGCAAGUCCUCUACCACUGAACUACAACCCAAGCCCCAGCCCCCUUACACAAGUUUUGAGCCCCUCAGAUUCUGUGCAUGGACUCCAGGAAAAGAAUGCCUGGUAAAGAGAAUUCCUUUGUAUGCCAGUUUCGGAAGCCCAGAAUUCAGGAGACUUUCCAUGAAUUCUCAAAAAUUAUUCUAAUGGCUGUGCAGUGGUUUUGGCCAAUUCCUUGAACUUAAUUCAUUCCAAAAAGUUAGAGAUGCAUAUUCUCUCUGAUGGAGAGGAAAAGAAGAAAAGUUAAUGUUCUUUUUAUUUCCAAUUGUGUUUACAUUAUCUGUAGAAAAUAGAUUACUUGAGCAGGAUGGAAAAAAAGAAUGAAAAAUCUAGAAAGACAUUCAACCUAUAACAUCAGUGAAAUGGCUCACGAUUUGAAAUGAACUGAAGUUUAGUCCCUUCAUUUUACAGAUGAGGAAACAAAGCUGAACAGUUGAACUGACUGCCAUGAGUUACAAAACCAGUUAUUUGAAAAGGUAGUUUCCUGGUCUUAUCUCCAGUAUUUUCUUCCACGCCAUGUUGUGCCAUCUGAAAGCAUGACUCUCCACUCAUUGAAUGGAUAAGGAAUGUUCAUUAUGAAACCUAAGUGGCAGAAUUUUUAUUAUAUUCCUGUAAUAGUCUUCAAGUUAUUAUUUUUUAUAAGUAUCCCAUAAAGAUAUUUUAUAAAAACUAUCCGUUGUACAAUUGUAAGUUGACAUAUAACUUUGUCAUCAUAAGAUUAAGAAAGUAUAAUGGACAUAAAUACUGGCGUUCUUUAAGGAAACUUUACAUCACCCAUUUAAAUAUAACCGGUUGAGUAUAACUCUUUGAUGUCAACCAUUGUGUUUUUUAUAAAAUACAUUUAAAGUCAUACACUUUAUAUUACUUUUUCUUCUUGAAAGUUUAUUUCCAUUCUACACAGAAUUUUAAUGUGAUUUCCAUUUAUAAUGGGCAUAUUGAUCAUUUAUCAUUUCUGGACAAAAAUA
Molecule: long non-coding RNA, 2473 nt
Filed under: Marmota monax (woodchuck)
Lineage: Eukaryota; Metazoa; Chordata; Mammalia; Rodentia; Sciuridae
Source: RNAcentral